This is a long non-coding RNA of Corapipo altera (White-ruffed manakin), 237 nucleotides long. RefSeq lists it as uncharacterized. The transcript is spliced from 3 exons. Lineage: Eukaryota; Metazoa; Chordata; Aves; Passeriformes; Pipridae. The record is from RefSeq and is a predicted model, not a curated record.
GGAGGUGGAGGACUGCGCCUGCCCGCCCGGGUACCGCGGGGCCUCCUGCCAGGACUGUGACACCGGCUACACCCGCAGCAGCGCCGGGCUCUACCUGGGCACGUGUGAGCCGUGCCAGUGCCACGGCCACGCCAGCGAGUGCCACCCCGACACCGGCGUCUGCCAGGGCUGCCGGGAUCACACAGAGGGACCCCAGUGUGACAAGUGCCAGCCCGGCUACUACGGCGAUGCCACCCG